AGUGGGAUAACUGGGUGAAACAGUGGUUUCAUUCCAAGUUUUCUGAGGAAUCUCCAUACUACUUUCCAGAGUUGUUGCACAGUUUGCAAUCCCACCAGCAAU
RNAcentral lists this microRNA precursor (102 nucleotides) under Marmota monax (woodchuck). Lineage: Eukaryota; Metazoa; Chordata; Mammalia; Rodentia; Sciuridae. The record is from RNAcentral.